UGGGGAAUAUUGCGCAAUGGGCGAAAGCCUGACGCAGCGACGCCGCGUGAGGGAUGAAGGUUUUCGGAUCGUAAACCUCUGUCAGAAGGGAAGAAACCGCACUGUGCUAAUCAGCAGUGCCUUGACGGUACCUUCAAAGGAAGCACCGGCUAACUCCGUGCCAGCAGCCGCGGUAAUACGGAGGGUGCAAGCGUUAAUCGGAAUUACUGGGCGUAAAGCGCACGUAGGCUGCUUUGUAAGUCAGGGGUGAAAUCCCACGGCUCAACCGUGGAACUGCCUUUGAUACUGCUUAGCUUGAAUCCGGGAGAGGGUGGCGGAAUUCCAGGUGUAGGAGUGGAAUCCGUAGAUAUCUGGAGGAACAUCAGUGGCGAAGGCGGCCACCUGGACCGGUAUUGACGCUGAGGUGCGAAAGCGUGGGGAGCAAACAGG
RNAcentral lists this ribosomal RNA (429 nucleotides) under Fusobacteriota bacterium. RNAcentral's name for it is "Fusobacteria bacterium partial 16S ribosomal RNA". It matches the Rfam family "Bacterial small subunit ribosomal RNA", at positions 355 to 776 of the family's 1533-position model. Lineage: Bacteria; Fusobacteriati; Fusobacteriota. The record is from RNAcentral.